Long non-coding RNA from Felis catus (domestic cat), 8619 nucleotides. RefSeq lists it as uncharacterized. The record is from RefSeq and is a predicted model, not a curated record. The transcript is spliced from 9 exons. NCBI's taxonomy places the organism in Eukaryota, Metazoa, Chordata, Mammalia, Carnivora, Felidae.
CUCUGCCCCUCUCUCCUACUUGUGCUCUUUCUUUCUAAAAUAAAAUUUUUUAAAAAAUUAAAAAAACAAAGGAAAUAUAAGUAAACUAUGUGGCCUUAGUUAAUAAUGCACCAGUUUUGGUUCCUUAAUAUUAACAAAUGCACCAUAUGAUGUAAGAUGCUAAUAGUGGAAACUGUGUGUAGGGGAGCACAGGUAACCCCCUGUAUUAUUGCCUUAAUUUUCUGUAAAUCUAAAACUGUUGUAGAAAAUAAAGUCUUUUAAUAAAAAAAUUAAUUAAAAAAUACACAUAUCCAGCUCCCACUCCCAAGAUGAUUCUGAUAUACAUCAAAAUAUGAAAACUACUUAUCACCAAAAUAUUCCAAAGCCAAGAGAAGGCUUGAAUUCUAGGCCUUUUACUGGGUCAAUAUAUAUUUUUUAAUAAACUAAAAAGCAAACAUAAGAUCUUAGCGAAUUUUGCAUUUUUAAAAACAUCUGUCUCCUCAGCUGGACAGAUCAGGUGCAAGAAGUUGCCUGAUGCUGGAAAGCGAAGCAGAUGAUAGCUUUGCAGCAGGGAGGUGAGAAGAGACAUCAAGGUUUUGAGCCUCCCACAAUUUAGAAGUAAGAGACAGCUGGUGGGACUGUUUGUUACUGUAUGAGAUUUGUGUUAAAAUUGUCACCAGCAAUAUGUAGUAAUAAAGAUACUCCUGACUUCAGGAGCCAACAGUUUCCAUUUUCACUACUGGCUGUUGAUUUUUGAAUAACAGGAUAACAAAACUGGAAGAGAUUAGAAGAAAUAAUUGGCUUGGCAUCUUCUUUUCUCUUGGGUAAAAGCAACCUAUAUAUAUUUCCCCUGCAGUAUUGUAAUGGAAAAUGGCAAUCUUAAACUCAUUCUUUUUUUUUUUUUCUUUAAAAAGCAAAAAGGUAAAAUGUAUCAAAAUUGUAGGAUAAAUGAUCUUGGGUCCCUAAGGAUGGGGAUUCCUCAAAGUGGCAACAUCUGAUUUAUAAAUGCCCUGUGAAUCUAGAAGAGGGAGUGGAGUUCCCAAGACAGUGGAUUAUCUUUCUCUUACAUGCUUGCAAAGCUCCAGACCAUUAAUUCUUAAGGUGUGGUCCCAGGACCAUCUGCAUCAGCACCAUCUGGGAACUUGUUAGACAUGCAAGUACGGAGGCCUCAUGUCAGACUUCCCACAUCUGAAAUUAUGGAGUGGGGUCCAACAAUGUGUGUGAUAACAUACCUUCCAAAUAAUUCCGACCCACAGUGAAGUUUGAGAACCACUAAUCCAAGAGGUGGGGGAGAAAUGGUCUUAGUACCACCAGUACCCCUCUUGCCACCUAAGCAACCUGGAGACUUCGGGAGGAUGGGGGAAGAACGUGGUUGUCUCUUUGCCCAAAAACCAUUUUUUUCCAUUCAAACAAUGUUACAUGUGCUGAUUAGGAUCUUAAGAAGGUCCACAGUAGAUUAUUUCAUCCACAAUGUGAGUGAAAUACUCAUACCAACCUAGUCAUCAAAGUUUAGGAUCCCGGGGUCCUGUCAUGUCAUUUUGCCAUAUCAGUAGUGCUAUGGCCUGCCAAGGGUGCAUUUGCAAUGAGGGUAACAAAAAUGCAAGGUUAAAAGGAAAUCACCACAUUUCCUCCAUUUUAAGAUGAAUAGUUUUCCACAGGUUAAUAUUUCUGAAAAAAAGAUAUACCUUACACUUGGUGUAUACAUUCAGUGUGGUGUUUCUCACCAAACCCUCUAAUACUAUUUUUAAAUUAAUGAUGUGUCUUACAAUUGACCCACCUUAGAAGUGAGAAAAUCUGGCAGUCAGAACGUGCUAUGAAAAGUGAAAAGAAUAGCCUCUGAAUCGUUUUCCCCUGUGAAUCUAGUAAGGACAGUUAGGAAGCAAUUUUAUUUUCUCUUCAUCAAACUCUAAACAUGAUACAUUUAAUAUUUUCUCUUUUUAAACUAAAAUUGCAUCCAAGGAUUUUACUUUAGGGCCAAGAUAAAAUAAGAGGGACUAUAUUUAACCCUUGUCUGAAAGAACUAAAAAAGUAGAACAAAAUAUAUGAAAUAACGGUUUUCAAUAUGUUUCAAGAUUGAAAUAUCUGGCAACAAGGAAUGGUGAUCCCUGAGGAAUGGGAAGGAACUGAGGUGAGCCCCAGGAUCACCCCAGCAGACUAACUGGGAGUCCUCAGGCCGUGGUGAAGGAAAGGGGGCCCAACUGCCAUCUGGAGAGGGAGAGAAGGUUCUGUGUCACAGUAAUGGUAACAUGAUGAGUCAUGGCCAGCACGAUAUGUUUUUGUCCAUUUGGAAUAUAUUUAAAAAUUAUUGGCCACAUAGAUUUCUUUAUUUAUAAUUUAGGUGUCAAGGUAUUUGUCAGGAAUGGACAUUAAUGGAAUUAAAUACUGAUAUUUUUAGGAAAGUGCUAAUACAUCAAUGCUAAAAUCAUUCUGGAUUUUAGAGGCAGCUGCAAAUGGCAUGAGAAAACUGGUUGUAGCUGAGUGUGAAUUGUGGUUCGUGUGGGGUGGGGGCACGCACACUCAGGAAACAGACAACAGCUGUUUGGUUGCAGGAUGAAGCAGGCCAAUUGGGAAUUAUAGAAUUAUUUCUUUGCCCAGACCUUACUCAGAACUUCCUGGCUUCUGCAAGAUUGGCUUGUGAUAUGAGUAAAUAGGAAUAGACAGUACUCUACCUGAUAGAAACAAGACUCUUUCGACAUGGUCUCUCUAGUUGGACUGAGCCACACAUGGUUUUGAGUGCCCUUUUGAUCUCACCAUGAAAGAUGUUCUUGAAAUGCGGAGCAAGGCUGUUUAUGCAUUGCAUCUGUAGCCUAUCAGGGGAUAUUUGCAACAGAAGCUGGGUAGGAGAAAGCAUGUGCAGAUCUGGAUACCAACGAUGAUCAUCUCUAGCCUGGAACUAACUAAAAACUGGAUGAUCUUGAGCAAAUUAAUGACCUUGAGACUAGACCUCAGCAGGGACCUAGUAAAUGGGAAUCCCUGGUUGUGGGAUUGAGCAUUAGUGAUUUUUUUUUAAGCAUCCUGGUGAUUCUAACUUGUUUCCAGGCAUGAGAACCACUGACUAAUAACUGAUGUGUAAGUUCCCUUCUAGACCUUGGGGUAUAAAUUGAAGCCUAAAUUUUGGCAGAUGACAAGGCUUUACCUGUCAUCUUGUGGUAGUUUGGUUUUGUUGUUAAUUUUUUUUCCAGUUAUGAUAAUUAGCUCCUGUAUCAGCAGACAUCUGUAGCCUUAAAUCCAGGAUCUGGAAUGAUCCAUCCAGCUGGGGCCUGCACUUCCCACCUCCCAGGACUAGCUGGAACAAUGUGUCAGUCUCUUACUGCUCUUCCCUUAUCAUUUUAAUGAACUUCCUGCAAUUUAAAAAUUGUGCUGGCAGUGUACCCUCUCUAGGCCAUUUGCUCAUUGCUAACAGCUGGUUAUCACCCUAAUUAGAAUGAGUGUUGACUUUCUUUUCAGCCCUGUAAUUUAGGGUACAGAAGCUGCCAAGUUGAGGUCAGUUUUGUUUGUGGGAUCUGAAUCUUACCAAAGUGACCUUGACAGCUAAAACCUUGUGUAGAUUCCCUAAGCCUAUUUCUAUCAUAUUAGAGGAUAUUUUUUCCUAUUACUUAGUCAUCAACUGUAACCAGCUAUGUUAAAAACUUAAAAUAUUCCACAAAUAAAUUAAUGAAAGAAUGAUAAUAUAUCUCCUUUGGAAUAUUAUUUCAUAUAUUCAUAUUAUUAUUAUUUCAUAACAUCCAGGGUAUAGAAUUAUGGAAUCCUGGAGGGGAUUUAUAGGAUGAUCAACUUCCUAUGGAAUAAGUGAAUCUCUUCUAUGAGCAUACAUCUGUCAUUCAAACAUUUCUAGUGACUAUAAUUUGUUGUUCUGUUCAUUCAUCAUGAUUUGUUUCUUACAAGCAUUUAAAUUUCAAUAUUUCUAAUACCUAUGCUGAAUUCAAGGAUUACACAGAUGUGGGGGAGGGGAAAUCAUGAUUUAUUUAGUUAGUGGGAGAAGAGUGACAAGAUACCAACUGUAGCAAUACAGUGAGACAAAUGCAACUAUAGGUGUAGAUUUUUCUGGAAGUCCCUUCACUGGGAAGUAAUUAAUUUUGAUUGGGACUGGGAGAGGGCAAAAGAUCAGGGAAGUUUCCUAGAGAAGAUGAUAUGUGAAUCAGGUCUUAAAGAAUCAGAUUUUUCAGGCAGAAAAGGUAGAGUGGGGAGAAGGUAAUGGGGAUACCAUAGAAACUCUCACAACUAAAACCUCAUUUUUAUCCUUGGUAUAGUUCUAAUUAUUUCUCUCUGUCCCCCUUUCCCUAAGACAAAGAACAGUAUGCAAUUUUGUUACUCAAAAUAUGGUCCAUGGACCAGGAGCUCGAAAGAAAUGUAGACUCUUAGAUCCCACCAGAUCUACUGAAGCAAAAGCCUCAGCUAUGGAAGGAGCAGGUCAGUCACAGAGGAGCCCACCUACUUAUUUCCUGUCACACAAUUGUCGCAUAAUUUCGGAGUAUAUAUCCACUAGUUAUCACUGGGAAAAGCAGAAGUUAGUGCUGCAAACCAAAACAAAUGCUUCAGACUCAGAUGAGCUGAUGGAGAUGGGCUGCCACAUCACACUGGGGGACUGACUCAGAGACGGGGAGCAGUGGGCAGGACCCCGCUCACAUGAUAACCCAGGCUGUUUCCCUGGCUUCUCUGUCACUUGGCUCCCUGUUGGAUUCAGCUAGUGGACAGACUGCAGCAUGGGAAGAACGGAUAAGCUGGGUGCGUUAGUUUCCUAUGGCCGGUGUAAGAAAUUACCACAAACUUUGGGACGUAAACAGCACAAGGUUAAUAUCUUACAGUUCUGGAGGUCUGAAUGAAGCCUUAUGGGACUAAAGUCAAGGAGUCAGCAGGGCCACCCUCCUUCUGGAAGUUCUUGUUUCCUUUCCUUUUCCAGUUCCCAGAGGCUGCCUAUGUUCCUUGACUUGUGGCCACAUCACUUCAACUGCUGCAUCCAUUGUCACGUUGCUUUCUCUGACUUUCCUUACUCCCUCUUGUGAGGAAUCUUGUGAUUACACUAGGUCCACCUGAAUAAUCUAGGGUCAGCUCUCCAUCUGACGACCUUUUACCUAAUCACAGCUGCAAAGUCCCUUUUGCCCUGUAAGAGGACAUGUUUAUAAAUCCUGGGGAUUAGAAUGUGAACAUCGUUGAAGGGGCCAUCAUCCUCCCUACCACAUCGGGGUUCUCCUCCAUACCAAAGAUGAUCUAGGCCCGUGGGCUCUGGUAAGGCUCCUCCUCCCUUAGUCCUUGUGGCCUAAGGGUGACAGUGGCUUCCCACUGCUGCUAAUUCCCCCGGUGCUGCCUUGUGCCCAGAUUGGCUAAUCAGCCUCUUUUUUGUCACCUGUGUAAAAAAUUCUCUUUGUUUGAAAUAUGGAAAUUUGCUUUCUGUUUUCCUGGUUUGACCCCGACUGAUAAGGUGGAGGGGUGAUACCUGGGUGCUGAUGGUCUCUGCUGGAGAUUGGGGCCGGGGGCACGUGGGGGAAUCUCUUUGCUUUGGGCAGUGACUUGAAGAUUAGCAGAAGCCUCCCUCUCUGGGCCAGGAUGUGCAGGCAAGGUGGAGCUGCCAGGACAGCAGUGAUUUGAGGUGUGUGGGGCCUCUGGUUGAGACCAGUCCAGUAUCUGAGCGCAGAUAAGAAUAGCUCCCUAACCAAAGGUUCUGGGCUAUUAAAAAGGACUAUUUAAGACAAGCUGUCGAAGCAUUUGUGGGAAGAGGCUUUAUUUCUGAAAAGUCUGAAGCUCUUCCAUUUAUUUUCUGCAUGAUCGUGAACAAAUGAUCUAGUUUCUCAGACUCACUGUCUUCAUCUGUUAAAAUGAGACAAUCGUACUUAAUUUCAAAGGUCUGCAUGUGGGUUCAGUGGGGGUGAUAUACAGGGUGGGGCAGGAGGAAUCACUAAAUAAUGUAAGUCUUCUGUUGGUUAAUUCUAAAAAUUCUGAGCACCUCCCAUGGGCUGGUUACUAUCCUAAGUUCCUGCUUUUGUUAAGUUUUCUGUCUGUUGUGAAGAUAGACAUUACUCAAAUAAUCACAUUAAUGUAUAUCUAAUUAUGAGCAUGGCUUGAUAGGUACGUGGUUCUUUGAGGACAUAUGAGAAAGAAGCCUGACUUUAACCAGGGCCUCAGGAAAGCAUCUGGGCUAUAAUUUGAAGGAUGAGCAAAAGUUAAUUAUAAAUGAAAUGCAAAGGGAUUGGGGAAACAGCAUGUACAAAGGCCCUGGGGUAGAGUGGCACAAUGUGUCCAAGGACAUGGAGGAAGCCCAAAGAGAAAAAGCAGUACAAGGUGAGGUAGAGGAGGCAGGUGGGGACAGACCGUGUAAGACCUUGGAAGGAUUUUAGUUCUUGUGAGAGAGCCCAUGGGGAGACACUGAGGGAUUUUGGGAAGUGCAUGUGUGUCUGUGUCUCAACAGCUUUAUGAUUUAGCCGAUCACUCUGGCUACUGCAUGGAGGACAGAUUGGAGAGGGUUGAGAGAAGAUGAGGGUAGACCAGUUGGGAGGGACUGGCAUGGCCUAAAUCAGAGGCUGGGUGAUGGCUUGGAUUAGGUGAGCACGAAGGGCAAAGGAGACGCAGGGUGUCAGCUUGCACCCGGGGUGAAUAGUGGUGCUGCUCUUAGAGGCAGAGGGUCCUAGAGAGAGCUCAUCCUGGAUGGGCACCAAUCAUGAAUUUGGUGCUAGAUAUGCUGAGUUUGAGGAGCUGGGGUAACAGCCAGGAGGAGAUGUCCCAUGAGCCACUCAGGAGAGGUCUGCUCUGGAGUUAGAGCUUUGGGCAUCAUGGGCUUAUAAAUAAUAACUACUUGGGCAUAGAUACAAUUGUCUUUCAGACAAGCUAACGUGUAAAGAGGGUUUAUUCUGUGCCAGGCACAAUUCUAAGCACUUUACUUGUAUUAACUCAUCUAAUCUCCAUAACUUCCUUUUGAGAUACUUCCCCUGUUUUACAGAUGAGGAAACUGAGGCAAUAGAGUGUUGCCAUACCUGCUUGAGGUAAAACAGUCUCGGAAUCAGGGUCCAAACCCAGGCGGUCUCCUGCACCAGUGUCAUUACCCCCUUUGCCAUACCGCCCCUCUCUGUCAAGGCUCAUAGCUUAUUCCUGGGACGGAGACUGUUCUAACAUACGCACUUUGUUGCAAAAGCUGUGCCAUUGGUUUUCAGGGAGGUAUAGGGAAUGUUGGUGUUUCUGGUUGCCAUGGUUUGCAUAAUAUACAUUCCUCACCUGCUGGAAUCCCACUGCCUUGAGUAGCAGCUGCCAGAAGCUGCAGAACAAACAUGUGCCGGCAGCAAAGCGAGGCACAUGGAGAAGAGGGUGAGGAUGAAGACAGGCAUGCGGCAAUUCCCCUUUCAAGCAAAAACAUGUCCGAGAUGCCUUCAGGUUGCCCACGGGUUCUGCAUCUCUCCACACAGGGAAUCUGAUAUGUGAAGAGUUAAGGCAUUGCCAGUGGUCUGGAGGCUGAGUCGUGAUGGAGCUGAGAUUCAAACCCAGGCAUUUUGCUUCAUUGCUCACAUGUUGUCAUCUUGACUACAAAUGAGGAAUCUUGCAGAAGGGGAGAUCAUGAACAAAGUUGGUAGUUUUUGAGAAGCUGCCUUUGAAGACAUGUCUAUCCUGUCUUGCUGUGAUCCCCCUCCCCCAACUUCUUGAGUUGCUUCUCUCUGGGGAGAUAUUAGAGGAGCAGAAUUCCAGCUUGGGAGAGAAGUGUAGCCCUCAGCAGCAGCCUGCUCUGUCCUGGACCAGCUAAGUGGAUUCCUCUUUGGGACAGAGAGAAGUCCGGUUUCUAUGACAAUCCAUGGCCGUUCUGCCAAGACUGCCAGCCAGGGUGCCUGGCAGUGCUAAUUGCUAUGCAGACAUCCGUUCAUUAGACUUUGACCUAGAAUUACUAUCAUCUUUCACAAGAAUUCUGGAGAGAACUACAGAUGCUGAGUGCUUUACUUCGGUUAGCCUAAGAUAAAAUACCCAGGAGGAGGUCUACUGUGAGUAAAAUAAGCUGUGUAAGAACAUGAAGUUCAGUUCCUGGCUCGCAGUCUGAAGCCCAGUAUAUGUUUAAAAUAACAUUAUCCUGGACCCGUUAGGAAGGACUUCUGCUCUCAUAAAUGGCCAAUGACCAUUUAUAACCCAGAAGAUUAAUUUAGACAACCAAGGCCAAGAAUGAAAAAGAAUGAAAGAAGUGAAAGAAUUUGAUUAAGAGUCGUCUGACACGUCCUCUCUUUCUCAUGCUCUGCUAAGUGAUUUGACCCCUUCUCGGAAUGACCUGCAACCAGACUUAAUUUGAAGAGCUCAGAGAUAACAAAUUGCCAAUAACCAGGGCAUUUCAUGGCUGGUCUCACUAGACUGGUGACUAAGCUAAUUUUCAACAGCUGGAAGGACUUACCUCUCACACAUAAAUCAUGUAUAGUUCAGACAUUAUGGAGAAAAUCAUUCUGAAAAACAAACAGACUAUACACCUUCUGUAAGUGAAGUGGGAUUUAGGAUUAUUGAGGAAGAAUUCUGAGACUUUAAUUGAACAUAUUUUUGUUUUAGGUCACAUUUUUAUUUGCUCAUAGUAAUUGCUUAUUGAUAACUAAAUAGAUGGCAUUUAACACGAUGGUUGUACUAGAUACUUUAUCUUCUUCAGCACUUUUGGAAUGAAUUUGUUUUAAAAUCAAAUGGAUCACACCA